This is a long non-coding RNA of Melanotaenia boesemani (Boeseman's rainbowfish), 354 nucleotides long. RefSeq lists it as uncharacterized. The transcript has 3 exons. The record is from RefSeq and is a predicted model, not a curated record. NCBI's taxonomy places the organism in Eukaryota, Metazoa, Chordata, Actinopteri, Atheriniformes, Melanotaeniidae.
GCGCUGGACUGCGGCUAUCCCGAGUGUGACGUCAGCUGACACAGACGGGUUGUAUCGUUCAUGGAUUUUAUUCUGGAACUUCCUGUAAACCCGGAAAUGUCUUGUUUUGAAAGGGUUGUAGCUCAAACGGUUUAAAGUGUAUUUCACGGAGCUAAAAUGUGUCAUAAGACGCAAUAAAAAGCACAGAACCAGCCUUAGCACCAGUCGAAACAGGCAUCAAGAAAGCCGUGCACGUGCAGCAGAUGAGACUUUGUGGAAAAAUGAGUGGAGCAGUGAGACGUGGUUCUCCAGUGGAAGUCAUGGAUCAGCAGGAGCAGCCAUCUUAAAAGCUCCAUUUAAAGGGAUCAGCAUGAA